RNAcentral lists this ribosomal RNA (502 nucleotides) under uncultured bacterium. Its description in RNAcentral is "partial 16S ribosomal RNA". It matches the Rfam family "Bacterial small subunit ribosomal RNA", at positions 28 to 507 of the family's 1533-position model. The record is from RNAcentral.
GACGAACGCUGGCGGCGUGCCUAAUACAUGCAAGUCGAACGAACCGCGACUGAGUGCUUGCACUUGGUCAAGGUGAGUGGCGAACGGGUGAGUAACACGUGGGUAACCUACCUCAUAGUGGGGGAUAACAGUCGGAAACGACUGCUAAUACCGCAUAGGACAUGGAAUCACAUGAUUCUGUGAGGAAAGGUGGCGCAAGCUAUCGCUAAGAGAUGGACUCGCGGUGCAUUAGCUAGUUGGUAGGGUAAGGGCCUACCAAGGCGAUGAUGCAUAGCCGACCUGAGAGGGUGAUCAGCCACAUUGGGACUGAGACACGGCCCAAACUCCUACGGGAGGCAGCAGUGGGGAAUCUUCCGCAAUGGACGCAAGUCUGACGGAGCAACGCCGCGUGAGUGAAGAAGGUCUUCGGAUCGUAAAGCUCUGUUGUUAGGGAAGAACAGCGCAUAGAGUAACUGUUAUGCGUAUGACGGUAUCUAACCAGAAAGCCACGGCUAACUACGUG